UGGGGAAUCUUGCACAAUGGGCGAAAGCCUGAUGCAGCGACGCCGCGUGCGGGAUGAAGGCCUUCGGGUUGUAAACCGCUUUCAGCAGGGACGAGGUCGCAAGGUGACGGUACCUGCAGAAGAAGCCCCGGCUAACUACGUGCCAGCAGCCGCGGUAAUACGUAGGGGGCAAGCGUUAUCCGGAUUCAUUGGGCGUAAAGCGCGCGUAGGCGGUUUGUUAGGUCAGGAGUUAAAUCUGGGGGCUCAACCCCUAUCCGCUCCUGAUACCGGCAGGCUUGAGUCUGGUAGGGGAAGGCGGAAUUCCAAGUGUAGCGGUGAAAUGCGCAGAUAUUUGGAAGAACACCGGUGGCGAAGGCGGCCUUCUGGGCCACGACUGACGCUGAGGCGCGAAAGCUAGGGGAGCGAACAGG
Molecule: ribosomal RNA, 410 nt
Filed under: Verrucomicrobiota bacterium
Lineage: Bacteria; Pseudomonadati; Verrucomicrobiota
Description: Verrucomicrobia bacterium partial 16S ribosomal RNA
Rfam family: Bacterial small subunit ribosomal RNA
Source: RNAcentral